Molecule: ribosomal RNA, 541 nt
Filed under: uncultured Gallionellaceae bacterium
Lineage: Bacteria; Pseudomonadati; Pseudomonadota; Betaproteobacteria; Nitrosomonadales; Gallionellaceae
Description: bacterial SSU rRNA
Rfam family: Bacterial small subunit ribosomal RNA
Source: RNAcentral
AAUGGGGGAUAACGUAGCGAAAGUUACGCUAAUACCGCAUAUGCCCUGAGGGGGAAAGGUGGGGAUCGCAAGACCUAUCGUUUUCGGAGUGGCCGAUAUCAGAUUAGCUAGUUGGUGGGGUAAAGGCCCACCAAGGCGACGAUCUGUAGCGGGUCUGAGAGGAUGAUCCGCCACACUGGGACUGAGACACGGCCCAGACUCCUACGGGAGGCAGCAGUGGGGAAUUUUGGACAAUGGGGGCAACCCUGAUCCAGCCAUGCCGCGUGAGUGAAGAAGGCCUUCGGGUUGUAAAGCUCUUUCAGCCGGAAAGAAAUCGCGCAGGCUAAUAUCCUGUGUGGAUGACGGUACCGGAAGAAGAAGCACCGGCUAACUACGUGCCAGCAGCCGCGGUAAUACGUAGGGUGCGAGCGUUAAUCGGAAUUACUGGGCGUAAAGCGUGCGCAGGCGGUUUUGUAAGACAGGCGUGAAAUCCCCGGGCUUAACCUGGGAACUGCGUUUGUGACUGCAAGGCCAGAGUGUGGCAGAGGGGGGUAGAAUUCCG